RNAcentral lists this ribosomal RNA (498 nucleotides) under uncultured bacterium. Its description in RNAcentral is "partial 16S ribosomal RNA". It matches the Rfam family "Bacterial small subunit ribosomal RNA", at positions 30 to 523 of the family's 1533-position model. The record is from RNAcentral.
AUUGAACGCUGGCGGCAUGCUUUACACAUGCAAGUCGAACGGCAGCGCGGGGCAACCUGGCGGCGAGUGGCGAACGGGUGAGUAAUAUAUCGGAACGUACCCAGAAGUGGGGGAUAACGUAGCGAAAGUUACGCUAAUACCGCAUACGAUCUACGGAUGAAAGUGGGGGACCUUCGGGCCUCAUGCUUGUGGAGCGGCCGAUAUCUGAUUAGCUAGUUGGUAGGGUAAGGGCCUACCAAGGCGACGAGCAGUAGCUGGUCUGAGAGGACGACCGGCCACACUGGGACGGAGGCACGGCACAGAUGCCUACGGGAGGAAGCAGUGGGGAAUUUUGGACAAUGGGCGCAAGCAUGAUCCAGCAAUGCCGCGUGAGUGAAGAAGGCCUUCGGGUUGUAAAGCUCUUUUGUCAGGGAAGAAACGGCGAUUUCUAAUAAAGAUUGCUAAUGACGGUACCUGAAGAAUAAGCACCGGCUAACUACGUGCCAGCAGCCGCCGUAA